AAUUUUGCGCAAUGGACGAAAGUCUGACGCAGCAACGCCGCGUGAGGGAUGAAGGCCUUCGGGUUGUAAACCUCUUUUAUCAGGGAAGAUAAUGACGGUACCUGAUGAAUAAGUCACGGCUAACUACGUGCCAGCAGCCGCGGUAAUACGUAGGUGACAAGCGUUGUCCGGAUUUACUGGGCGUAAAGAGCGCGCAGGCGGUCGUUCAAGUCGAGUGUGAAAGCCCCCGGCUCAACUGGGGAGGGUCAUUCGAUACUGAUCGACUCGAAGGCAGGAGAGGGAAGUGGAAUUCCCGGUGUAGUGGUGAAAUGCGUAGAUAUCGGGAGGAACACCAGUGGCGAAGGCGACUUCCUGGCCUGUUCUUGACGCUGAGGCGCGAAAGCUAGGGGAGUAAACGGGAUUAGAUACCCCGGUAGUCCUAGCCGUAAACGAUGGACACUAGGUGUUGGUGGUAUCAACCCCGCCAGUGCCGAAGCUAACGCAUUAAGUGUCCCGCCUGGGGAGUACGGCCGCAAGGCUA
RNAcentral lists this ribosomal RNA (520 nucleotides) under uncultured Acidobacteriota bacterium. Its description in RNAcentral is "bacterial SSU rRNA". It matches the Rfam family "Bacterial small subunit ribosomal RNA", at positions 360 to 896 of the family's 1533-position model. Lineage: Bacteria; Pseudomonadati; Acidobacteriota. The record is from RNAcentral.